This 223-nucleotide ribosomal RNA is filed under the name uncultured bacterium. Its description in RNAcentral is "partial 16S ribosomal RNA". It matches the Rfam family "Bacterial small subunit ribosomal RNA", at positions 524 to 776 of the family's 1533-position model. The record is from RNAcentral.
UACGUAGAAGACUAGUGUUAUUCAUCUUUAAUAGGUUUAAAGGGUACCUAGACGGUAUAAUUAGUCUUUAACAGGAAACGGUUAUACUAGAGUUAUAUAUGAGGAGGUGAGUAUUUGUGGAGUAGAGUUGAAAUUCUUUGAUACCAUGAAGACUGGUAAAGGCGAAAGCAACCUUUUAUCUAAUAACUGACGCUGAGACGCGAAAGCGUGGGGAGCAAACAGG